Molecule: ribosomal RNA, 497 nt
Filed under: uncultured bacterium
Lineage: Bacteria
Description: partial 16S ribosomal RNA
Rfam family: Bacterial small subunit ribosomal RNA
Source: RNAcentral
GAUGAACGCUGGCGGCGUGCCUAAUACAUGCAAGUCGAGCGAACGGACGAGAAGCUUGCUUCUCUGAUGUUAGCGGCGGACGGGUGAGUAACACGUGGAUAACCUACCCAUAAGACUGGGAUAACUUCGGGAAACCGGAGCUAAUACCGGAUAAUAUUUUGAACCGCAUGGUUCAAAAGUGAAAGACGGUCUUGCUGUCACUUAUAGAUGGAUCCGCGCUGCAUUAGCUAGUUGGUAAGGUAACGGCUUACCAAGGCAACGAUGCAUAGCCGACCUGAGAGGGUGAUCGGCCACACUGGAACUGAGACACGGUCCAGACUCCUACGGGAGGCAGCAGUAGGGAAUCUUCCGCAAUGGGCGAAGGCCUGACGGAGCAACGCCGCGUGAGUGAUGAAGGUCUUCGGAUCGUAAAACUCUGUUAUUAGGGAAGAACAUAUGUGUAAGUAACUGUGCACAUCUUGACGGUACCUAAUCAGAAAGCCACGGCUAACUACGUG